Molecule: long non-coding RNA, 1918 nt
Organism: Rhagoletis zephyria (snowberry fruit fly)
Lineage: Eukaryota; Metazoa; Arthropoda; Insecta; Diptera; Tephritidae
Source: RefSeq, a predicted model, not a curated record
GUGUGUUUUUGUGAAAAGUGCAAGUUUUAGUGAAAUAAACAGAAAUAGUUGGACCACCAGCGACAUUGGUUAAAUCAUCCAGAGGAGUAUUUUUUAUACAGUUAAAGGAGAACUGUUUCCCAACGAACAGAUAACUACAUUUUUUAUAAAGAACCAAAUUCCUCGAUAAUGUCUUUAGUUAUUAAUGAUUUGUUUCCCGCAAUCAUUAGUAUCGCUGAUGAUUCACCUUUAUUACAAAACCAGCAGGAAAUCCUUGAAGACGAUGAAUUAAAAAUAUUACUAAGAUCUUGGAAUGUUGAACACAUGUACACAUGUCUUAAGGAGGAAAAUAUCGACGUGAAGAUAUUGAAAAUUUUGAAGUUUGACCACUUGAAAGAGAUUUUGCAAACUUUCAAAAUUGGUGACCGAAUCUUAUUUGAAUUCAACUUCGAAAACUGGAGAAACCAGAUUAAUAAACCUCUGCACUUUCACGCUUCCGUUAGCACUGCGUCGCCUAGUUGCUCCGCUGAUUUUUCCCAGUAAGAUCUAGAUCGCCUGCUUCCAGCCCUACCACUGGUUCCAAUUCGCAAGAUUUCGAGGAAAACGCUUUUGUUGCAACAAUUUUACACGCAGAUAUUAAGUCGUUACAUGUAAAAGAUUUUUAUAAAUGUAACAACAGACUUGACGACGCUCAUAGAAAUGUACUCAUCAAUAUAAUUGUAACCUACUACAUUGCCAAAAACAUUCACAUGUCACUUCAAGUAAUCUACUACCUGGAGAAUGAAAUCCUAAGCCUUUUUCCAAAUGAAAAGCUGAACUUCUACAGAACCGAAAAGAGAGAAACUGUAUACCAAAUAUUGCUACUUAAAAAAAAGCUUCAAAAACCGUUUGUCUAUAAUUCCUGUACCUGAAGAAAAUACCAAAGCUGAUAAAAUUGCUCGCGAUGAUCAUGCAGAAGAAAUCAUACAGCAUCUUAAAUACGACAAUUUGACAGCAGAAGAAUUCGAAAGCUGCUGGCAGGCCAGUGCAAAUUAUAGAAUUCAUCAAAUAAAGGAAAAAUUUAAUAGCAUUCAACAAGUUUUCGUAGACUGGCCAGAGUAUAAAAAGCCGAACGGAUAUCGAUUGAUUGAUCUAGACUUUGGUACGAUUUUUCCCAAUCAUGAUAAUUUUCUUGUUGACUGGAAGCAAAAAGUUUUGAAGCUCUUUACAUCUUAAAGCUUGAAGCUUUUUACAUCUUAAGAGAAGUGAGUGCUUAAAGGACGGUGCCACAAAAAUCAUUAUCAGCUCUAUGUCUGAAGGGGAUUUAGAAAAAGAUGAAACGUCCUUUGCUUUUAAGACUUUUUGGUGCCUACAUGGAUAUCUUUACCCUACAGGACACGUUAUGAAAAAGGAUAAUACUGGGAAAAGAUGUACAAUCAGAUUCACCAUAAAGGACUCUCAGGAAUCGUAUGCUUUUGUCGGACAAAGUCUUCAAAACCUAGAUGAUCACAUUAAUUUUUUAAGCCAACGUAAAGAAAACAUACAGCCUUUUAUCCUGUCGGUAGGAGACAACAAUUACUCAAAAUUCACUGAAUUUUUUUUUAUAUUUAGAUGGUACAAAAAUUCCAUUCCAAAGCUUUUUACGCUGUAUGGAUAUAUGUUUCAAAUCCUUUUAUUUAUUUAAUGUGGAGUACCCUAAAGCUUCCACAACAUUUUGGACAUUUAUUGAAGCUUACUUUUACAAACUAGCAUUACCUCAAGGAAAAAAAACUUUGAAAAUAAAUAUUCUGAUGCAAGAACUUGAAGAAGACUCCUAAUUUAAUGUACACUUUUGGUCAGAUAAUUAAGUUAGUUACAUAGGAACUAGCUAUUUUUCUUUUUUUUUAUUAUUUUUUUAUAAAAGUCUAGCGCAUUGUAUAACAAGCACCUAACUUAAUUAAGCUGACCACAAGUGUGUGUA